CAUGCAAGUCGAACGAGAGAGAAGGAGCUUGCUUCUCCGAUCGAGUGGCGAACGGGUGAGUAACGCGUGAGGAACCUGCCUCAAAGAGGGGGACAACAGUUGGAAACGACUGCUAAUACCGCAUAAGCCCACGGAUCGGCAUCGAUCUGAGGGAAAAGGAGCAAUCCGCUUUGAGAUGGCCUCGCGUCCGAUUAGCUAGUUGGUGAGGUAAUGGCCCACCAAGGCGACGAUCGGUAGCCGGACUGAGAGGUUGAACGGCCACAUUGGGACUGAGACACGGCCCAGACUCCUACGGGAGGCAGCAGUGGGGAAUAUUGCACAAUGGGGGAAACCCUGAUGCAGCGACGCCGCGUGGAGGAAGAAGGUCUUCGGAUUGUAAACUCCUGUUGUUGAGGAAGAUAAUGACGGUACUCAACAAGGAAGUGACGGCUAACUACGUGCCAGCAGCCGCGGUAAAACGUAGGUCACAAGCGUUGUCCGGAAUUACUGGGUGUAAAGGGAGCGCAGGCGGGAAGACAAGUUGGAAGUGAAAUCUAUGGGCUCAACCCAUAAACUGCUUUCAAAACUGUUUUUCUUGAGUAGUGCAGAGGUAGGCGGAAUUCCCGGUGUAGCGGUGGAAUGCGUAGAUAUCGGGAGGAACACCAGUGGCGAAGGCGGCCUACUGGGCACCAACUGACGCUGAGGCUCGAAAGUGUGGGUAGCAGACAGGAUUAGAUACCCUGGUAGUCCACACCGUAAACGAUGAUUACUAGGUG
This 755-nucleotide ribosomal RNA is filed under the name uncultured bacterium. RNAcentral's name for it is "bacterial SSU rRNA". It matches the Rfam family "Bacterial small subunit ribosomal RNA", at positions 54 to 822 of the family's 1533-position model. The record is from RNAcentral.